Molecule: small RNA, 124 nt
Filed under: Klebsiella pneumoniae
Lineage: Bacteria; Pseudomonadati; Pseudomonadota; Gammaproteobacteria; Enterobacterales; Enterobacteriaceae
Description: RtT sRNA
Rfam family: RtT RNA
About the family: This family represents a bacterial cis-regulatory element known as RtT RNA.
Source: RNAcentral
CCAUGGGGAAGGAUGAGAAGCUUCGACUAAGGUUCGACUCGAGCGCCAGCGAGAGAACGUUGCCACAGGCAACGGCCCGAAGGGCGAGGCGCUUUAGCGCCGAGUAAUCCUUCCCCCACCACCA